Molecule: ribosomal RNA, 253 nt
Filed under: uncultured bacterium
Lineage: Bacteria
Description: partial 16S ribosomal RNA
Rfam family: Bacterial small subunit ribosomal RNA
Source: RNAcentral
UACAGAGGGUGCAAGCGUUGCUCGGAUUUACUGGGCGUAAAGCGUACGCAGACGGCCACGCAGGUCGGGUGUGAAAGCCCAGGGCUCAACCCUGGAACAGCAUUCGAAACCAUGUGGCUUGAGGAUGGGAGAGGAGAGCGGAAUUCCCGGUGUAGAGGUGAAAUUCGUAGAUAUCGGGAGGAACACCAGUGGCGAAAGCGGCUCUCUGGCCCAUUUCUGACGUUCAGGUACGAAAGCGUGGGGAGCAAACAGG